Molecule: long non-coding RNA, 603 nt
Organism: Manacus vitellinus (golden-collared manakin)
Lineage: Eukaryota; Metazoa; Chordata; Aves; Passeriformes; Pipridae
Exons: 6
Source: RefSeq, a predicted model, not a curated record
CGUCUCCACAGCCCCAGCGCCACAGGCUCUUCCCUAGCCCCGGGACCACCCUCCCUCCCCGGGCUGAGGGAAGUAUCCCCAACCCUUCUUCGUGCAGUGAACCACGGUCUGGCACUCAUACGUGGUACCCCUUGAAACAGUGAGGAAACAAUUUCUGGUCUUACUGGAGGACCUGGAAGUUCUAGAUUUUCUAGAUUAACUUCUGCCUCUAUACUCCUUCUACUAUGCAACCUUCAGAAUGAAGCUUCACAGUUGUGCUGAAAAAUCUGGCAGUUUAGUGUCAUUUACUUUCACAGAGGUACAAGACGUUCAAGGGAAGACUACUGGGCAUUAAAUGGACCACAUAUAUGAAGAUAUGAAUCCACUCCAAGGGAUGCUUUAGUAAAGAACCUAGGUGGAACAAUCAUCUGACUUAGGAAGGUGUGAAGGAUAACCAACUCCCAACACUUCAGUGAGCAAUCUGAAGUACACAUCUAUUGUACUUUAGACUUGGCCCUGUUCCAUUGUUGCCAAAGCAGAUUUUAAUGUUGCAACAAAUGGUGGAGGAUUGGAGUGGUCCAAAAUCCCAAAAAUUAAAUUCUGAAUAAUGACCAAAUUUGUGAA